Long non-coding RNA from Podarcis raffonei (Aeolian wall lizard), 1499 nucleotides. RefSeq lists it as uncharacterized. The record is from RefSeq and is a predicted model, not a curated record. The transcript has 2 exons. NCBI's taxonomy places the organism in Eukaryota, Metazoa, Chordata, Lepidosauria, Squamata, Lacertidae.
AGCAAGCGGGCGCCUGCAACUGCCCGGCGUUUCGCCUCGCAUAUCCCGCACCCACAGCCCAGUCUCAACGCGGCUGGCAUUCCAGACAUCUCAGCCCGUUCCUCCCAGCCUCGCUGCUCAGGUUGCUCUCCGGGUGUGAAGCCUCUUCCUCCCUUCAGUUACUUGUUUGGAGCGCUCCAGAAACCGCGAGCGGCUCUUUGGGCCAGGCCUGGGUCUCUAACCGGUGACUGAAAAGGUAGUGGACAGGGAGGACAGAAGCUGGCCGUGUCAGCCCCGAGCGCAGCCCGAGGCACCAAUCUUACGCAGCAUCUUCUCCUCAGCGUCCCUUCUGUUGUCGAAGAGAAAAGCUAUAAUGUGAUAAACACACUGGCGAACAAGUGACAAUUUCCUCUUGGUUUUCGCCUGGCGAUCUCUCUCUAUCUCUCUCUUGCAGAGAGACGCGGAGACCCUGGUUACCCUCUAAGAUUACCUCUCUGCCUUGGCUGGAAAAGAGCUCUGGGUCAGCUGCAUAGGGGAGACUUGCCGUAUCAAUUAAAGGGUGAUAUAUGAUCCCUGCCCGCUCGCCCCCAGCCCUAAACUGAAACUAAUAGGUGAUUAGAAAGGAGCCCGAAGGCCCCCAAGACGGACGGCUGAGACGGAUGGAUUUGGGGAGGUAUGAGAUCGACCUAGGCGAUGGGAGAAGGACGGAUCGGCGUCCUUCGAAAAGGCCAGUCCCGCUCCGCCCCUGAGUGGAAAACUCAGCUGGAAGGCAGGCCCCGUGGAAAACCGAGGACUUGCUUGUUAAGGGCUGAGACCCGGCAGAUAACCCGCUCCAAAGACGCCUAUGUAGUAUCUAGACGCGUCUCUUUAACGCUCCAAAGCGGAGCAGCACCCGAACACACGUCCCCCUAUUUACUCCAGAGGAAUCCAGCCAUUGCUGUGAGCGUCCGGUGAAUGGGUAGGCAUGCCCGCCUUGCUUUUGUCUGUGCGCAGAGGCCAGCAGAGGGAAGCGGGAGUCGGGCUGUCUUCAAUCCCCCUCCCCCGCGUCCCCCGACGACGCAUGAGGACGUGGGGAGUCGUUAGAUGGUUUCUGCUUGGAACUGCUGCUGUAGCGAGGGUUCCUCAUCAUAAUCCCCGAGCAGGUCGUGCGAGAUGUUCGCCGGAGGGAUGACAUUCCCUGCUCCCAGGGGCGGGUCAUUUGCCUCCAGACACAACAAACUCCAGAAACAGGCAAACACGGCCGAGUUUUGACAGGCUCGAGGAAGCAAAACAAAACGAGCGAGAGGUCGACUCAGAUCUGUUUAUUUAGGGGAAAGAAAGGAAGGGAAAAGAGCGCUGGGCCCUCCAUUCUCAUCGAAAGACCCACCGGCAGUCAGAAAACCCGGGCUGAUCUGCCUCCCUUUUUCUGUCUUUCCUGCCAGGGCGAACCCCCAUCCACGGCAGCAGAAACUUUGUAGAAACAACAACAGCAAAAGCAAAAUAGUCUCCAAUAUGCAGGGAAUAAAGCUACUGGUUUGGUU